AUGGCCUCCGAGGUAGCUGGUCUUAGCCCUCCGAGGUCUCACCGGGAGCCGGAGGGGCGCCCGCGACAGGACAAGUAUUCGGUGCUACUGCCCACCUACAACGAGCGCGAGAACCUACCGCUCAUCGUGUGGCUGCUGGUGAAAAGCUUCUCCGAGAGUGGAAUCAACUAUGAAAUUAUAAUCAUAGAUGAUGGAAGCCCAGAUGGAACAAGGGACAUUGCUGAGCAGUUGGAGAAGAUCUAUGGGUCAGACAGAAUUCUUCUGAGACCACGGGAGAGAAAGCUGGGAUUGGGAACUGCAUAUAUACAUGGAAUGAAACAUGCCACAGGAAACUACAUAAUUAUUAUGGAUGCUGAUCUCUCACACCAUCCAAAAUUUAUUCCUGAGUUCAUUAGGAAGCAAAAGGAAGGUAAUUUUGACAUUGUCUCUGGAACUCGCUACAAAGGAAAUGGAGGUGUUUAUGGCUGGGAUUUGAAAAGAAAAGUAAUCAGCCGUGGGGCCAAUUUUAUAACUCAGAUUUUGCUGAGACCAGGAGCAUCUGAUUUAACAGGAAGUUUCAGGUUAUAUCGAAAAGAAGUUCUACAGAAAUUAAUAGAAAAAUGUGUUUCUAAAGGCUACGUCUUCCAGAUGGAAAUGAUUGUUCGGGCAAGACAGUUGAAUUAUACUAUUGGCGAGGUUCCAAUAACAUUUGUGGAUCGUGUUUACGGUGAAUCCAAGUUGGGAGGAAAUGAAAUAGUCUCUUUCUUGAAAGGAUUAUUGACUCUUUUUGCUACUACAUAAAAGAAAGUUACUCAUUUAUAUUUAUCAUGUUCAUUUCAACUUAAAUAUAAAGGAAGUCUGGUUGCUGAUUUUUAUAAAAUGUACUCUUAGAGCAUAAAUCAUAGAUCCUACCAGAAAUGAAUACCAGAGUGGUGUCAUUUUGAACGUUGCCUGUUCCCAUAGUUGAAUCCAUAGAACGCAUUGCAAUAAGGGCCUCUACUAUUACUGUAUUUCCCUUUUACACAGAGCUGUGCAGUGGCCCAGCAGGGACCCACCUUACUCAGAAAGUGACUUCUCUCAUUAAUUACUGGGAAAUUCAUCACUGUUUGAUGUAAAAUUACUUUUAAGCUAACAUAAUAGAAAUAUAAUAUCCUUUUUAAAAAGUAUUUAGAAAUCUGUUCUUUUUCAUCUAAACCCAAAGUUCAGUUUUCAUUGUUAAGUAUGUGGAGCAGAGAUGAAAUAACUUGCCUCAGAGAACCCACUAAGAGUAUUGCCUUCUCAGACCUCCAUUAGCGUAGAUACCUUUUGCUUUUUAAAUCUUUUCAGUUCUUAUUCCCACAAUCAUUACAAUACUAUCACUUAUUGGAGUUUACAAUAAAAUAAGUAUUUGAGCAGUGAAGACUUUCACCAUUUGGAAGUUAUUUAGAGAAGAAUCUAGAGUAUUUAGAUGCAUUUUUGUACUAAAUGUGGUGACUUAAACACUAAAAUCAUUUACAUGUGAAUCUAGCAUCCCUUUUUACUUUGUAAAUGAGGCCAAGAAUGAAAUCCAGAUGUUCUCCCUUUGUAUUACCACUGUAUGAAAUCUAAGUAUAUCUAAGGAAAGCUAAACUUAAGAUAAAAAUUUUGCUUAUUUCA
RNA transcript from Miniopterus natalensis, 1614 nucleotides. It is a transcript of the gene named dolichyl-phosphate mannosyltransferase subunit 1, catalytic, with no coding region annotated. The record is from RefSeq and is a predicted model, not a curated record. Lineage: Eukaryota; Metazoa; Chordata; Mammalia; Chiroptera; Miniopteridae.